UUCUUCUUCUUCUUCUCCUCCUCCAAUUCUCCAGUCUCUUUCUUCUCUGCAGCAAUCUCCUUUGCUGGCUCGCUUGCAGCAGCCAUGCUAGCAACUGUAGAAUCCCCUCCUGUGGGCAAAACCAAAUUCCUCAUCCAUUCUUGAGGGGUAUUCCCAUUUGGCUUCCCAUGCUUAUCCAACUUCCCCUCUGCAAUCAAUUUCUUCUUCAUCGAAGCCUUUGGUCCCAACCCCCACUUCCUUGGGUAAGUAUCCCGAUCCAUCACAACCCUCUUAAUCUUUGCCACGACACCAUGAUCACAUGUAGCCAUCACCGCAGUAGUCAUCUCUGCAAUCCCCAAAGCAAUCGCCUCACCCUUGGUAGUCAUCAGGACAACUUCCUCACCAACCCCAAUAUCAUUCUCAAACCUCAACAAUCCUGGAAUCAUCAGCUUAGCACCAUAACAAAUUGCAUUCACGGCAGAAUCCUUCACAACCAAUCUCUUAUAACUAGUCAAAAGCACUUCAAGAGGCAUAAUCACUCUCCUCAAAUAGCUCUCAUCCCUAUAAUUGUCAUAAACCCAUUGAGCAUCCAUCACAUCAUGCAUAGUCACCAUAUUAUCUCUCUCCCCCAAAAUCCCAGACCUCACUCUCCUCAACUCCUGCAUAUGCCCACCAACACCAAGAAUCAAUCCCAAAUGAACGCACAUAGUCCUAACAUAAGUCCCAGCUUCACAAGAAAUCCAAAAAACAACCAAAUGCCUAUCUGGGUCAUACUCCAACAACUUACUCUCAUAAAUUGUCCGAAUCCUAAGCUGCCUUUUCACAGCAGAAAUCAAUGGCGGUCUUUGAAAAACCGCACCAGUAAGAGUCUCAAGCGCUCUAGCUACUUUGGCAACAUCAGGCACCUUAUCAUGUAAUCUUGCUACACAAACAUACUCCUUACCCGCACCUUGUUGAGAUUUAACAAGGCGGGUAGCUCUAUCAAUACAAACAAUCAAGUUACCUGUAACUUUAGGGUCCAAUGUGCCACUAUGCCCUGUUUUCUCGACCCUCAAAAUCCGUUUGAUCCAAGCAACCACUUCGUGCGAAGAUGGGUUCGCAGGCUUAUCAAGAUUCAUAACACCAUAGCGGAUGUACUCGGCAAGAGGACGCUUGAGAGGAGAGUAACCAGAAGGGAGAGGCGUGUAGUGACCAGUACGAACAUUGAGGCGGUCGUAGUUCUUCAAGAGAAUUGGCCAUUGGGAAGUGUCAAUUGCCGGAGUAAAGCUUUGGGGCUUGAUCAUGAAGUCUCCAGCGGCAGCAUCCGAGCCCUUUGGCUUUGUAUCUGGUUCGUCCAUAGCUUGGGUGUUGUUCUUUUUCUUGUGCUUUUUCUUUUCUGAACGGGAAAGCUCAACUUCGGACAUGGCUCAGUGUCUUUAGCAGCUAUGGUUUAUUAGGGUUUUUGUGGGAUUUUAGAGGUGGCGAUCAGAGCAGUAGGUUUUAAGGUGAAAGCGGAAUUUAUAGGGUUAGGGUUUUGGGGUUUUGGAAGAAGGGGCUUAGAGGGAGAGAAGGGCUAUUUCGG
Molecule: unclassified non-coding RNA, 1540 nt
Filed under: Hevea brasiliensis (rubber tree)
Lineage: Eukaryota; Viridiplantae; Streptophyta; Magnoliopsida; Malpighiales; Euphorbiaceae
Source: RNAcentral